Haliotis rubra (blacklip abalone) is the source of this 828-nucleotide long non-coding RNA. RefSeq lists it as uncharacterized. NCBI's taxonomy places the organism in Eukaryota, Metazoa, Mollusca, Gastropoda, Lepetellida, Haliotidae. The record is from RefSeq and is a predicted model, not a curated record. The transcript is spliced from 2 exons.
UACUACAGUUGUUGUACACAUCCCUUAGCCAUACCAGGCUUUUGCUGUUUUAUGCUCAUUUUUUUGUUGGGUAAUGGGGAAUACAAGGUCAUACAGGUAUCUGAGAGACUCUUAGUUUCCGUGUAGAGUUGUGUCCCUUGUGCCGUGCCAGGAUCUGCCUGUUCUUUGUUGGGUAACAGGGGACAUAGUAGCACCCAGGUUUAUAAGAGACUGUGGUUCUCCUUGCAAAGUUGUGUUACUAUACACCCCAGGAUCUUCUGAUUCUUAAUCAGGAAACAGGGAAACUGAGAAAACUUGGGUACCUAGAAGGUCAGGAAAUAAAAAGACUGAGAAAGCUUUGGUACCUAGGAAGUCAGGAAACGGGGAAACAAAAAGCUUGUGUACCUAGGAAGUCUGGAAACAGGGAAACUGAGAAAGCUCGGGUAACUAGGAAGUCAGGAGACAGGGAAACUGAGAAAGCUCGGGUACCUAGGAAGUCAGGAAACGGAGAAACUGAAAAAGCUCGGGUACCUAGGAAGUCAGGAAACGGAGAAACUGAAAAAGCUCGGGUACCUAGGAAGUCAGGAAAUGGGGAAACUGAAAAAGCUCAUGUACCUAGGAAGGCGGGAAACAGGGAAACUGAGAAAAUUUGGGUACCUAGAAGUCAGGAAAUGGGGAAAUUGAGAAAGCUCGGAUACCUAGGAAGUCAGGAAAUGUGUAAACUGAAAAAGCUCAGGUACCUAGGAAGUCAGGAAACAGGGAAACUGAGAAAGAGACUGCAUUUUUGCUGGGUAAAUACUGAGAUGUGUGCCACUUAGCCAUGCCAGAAUCUCCCGAUUCUUUGUCAGG